This 492-nucleotide ribosomal RNA is filed under the name uncultured bacterium. RNAcentral's name for it is "partial 16S ribosomal RNA". It matches the Rfam family "Bacterial small subunit ribosomal RNA", at positions 29 to 507 of the family's 1533-position model. The record is from RNAcentral.
AGUGAACGCUGGCGGUAGGCCUAACACAUGCAAGUCGAACGGCAGCACAGUAAGAGCUUGCUCUUACGGGUGGCGAGUGGCGGACGGGUGAGGAAUACAUCGGAAUCUACUUUUUCGUGGGGGAUAACGUAGGGAAACUUACGCUAAUACCGCAUACGACCUACGGGUGAAAGCAGGGGAUCUUCGGACCUUGCGCGAUUGAAUGAGCCGAUGUCGGAUUAGCUAGUUGGCGGGGUAAAGGCCCACCAAGGCGACGAUCCGUAGCUGGUCUGAGGGGAUGAUCAGCCACACUGGAACUGAGACACGGUCCGGACUCCUACGGGAGGCAGCAGUGGGGAAUAUUGGACAAUGGGCGCAAGCCUGAUCCAGCCAUACCGCGUGGGUGAAGAAGGCCUUCGGGUUGUAAAGCCCUUUUGUUGGGAAAGAAAAGCAGCAGGUUAAUACCCCGCUGUUCUGACGGUACCCAAAGAAUAAGCACCGGCUAACUUCGUG